Molecule: ribosomal RNA, 497 nt
Filed under: uncultured bacterium
Lineage: Bacteria
Description: partial 16S ribosomal RNA
Rfam family: Bacterial small subunit ribosomal RNA
Source: RNAcentral
GAUGAACGCUGGCGGCGUGCCUAAUACAUGCAAGUCGAGCGAACGGACGAGAAGCUUGCUUCUCUGAUGUUAGCGGCGGACGGGUGAGUAACACGUGGAUAACCUACCUAUAAGACUGGGAUAACUUCGGGAAACCGGCGCUAAUACCGGAUAAUAUUUUGAACCGCAUGGUUCAAAAGUGAAAGACGGUCUUGCUGUCACUUAUAGAUGGAUCCGCGCUGCAUUAGCUAGUUGGUAAGGUAACGGCUUACCAAGGCAACGAUGCAUAGCCGACCUGAGAGGGUGAUCGGCCACCCUGGAACUGAGCCACGGUCCAGACUCCUACGGGAGGCAGCAGUAGGGAAUCUUCCGCAAUGGGCGAAAGCCUGACGGAGCAACGCCGCGUGAGUGAUGAAGGUCUUCGGAUCGUAAAACUCUGUUAUUAGUGAAGAACAUAUGUGUAAGUAACUGUGCACAUCUUGACGGUACCUAAUCAGAAAGCCACGGCUAACUACGUG